Molecule: ribosomal RNA, 253 nt
Filed under: uncultured bacterium
Lineage: Bacteria
Description: partial 16S ribosomal RNA
Rfam family: Bacterial small subunit ribosomal RNA
Source: RNAcentral
UACGAAGGGGGCUAGCGUUGUUCGGAAUUACUGGGCGUAAAGCGCACGUAGGCGGACAUUUAAGUCAGGGGUGAAAUCCUGCAGCUUAACUGCAGAAGUGCCUUUGAUACUGUCGGUCUUGAGGGAGAUAGGGGUGUGCGGAACUUCCAGUGGAGCGGUGAAAUGCGUUGAUAUUGGAAGGAACGCCGGAGGCGAAAGCGGCGCACUGGAUCUCUUCUGACGCUGAGGCGCGAAAGCUAGGGGAGCAAACGGG